AAGGAAUGUAUGUACCAGGAAACUUACUGCUGUCUUGUUUGACUUAGUGUAUGUAUUAGUCCAUUCUCAUGCUGCUGAUAAAGACAUACCUGAAAAUGGGUAAAUUAUAAAGAAAAAGAGGUUUAAUGAACUCACAGUUCCAUAUGGCUGGGGAAGCCUCACAAUCAUGGAGGAAGGCGAAAGGCACGUCUUAAUGGCAGCAGUCAAGAGACAGAAUGAGAGAGAGAGACAAGUGAAAGGGGUUUCCCCUUAAAAAACCAUCAGAUCUCGUGAGACUUAUUCACUACCAUGAGAAUAGUAUGGGGGAAAUUGCCCUCAUGAUUCAAUUAUCUCCCACCAGGUCCCUGCUACAACAUGGUGGAAUUAUGGGAGCUACAAUUCAAGAUGAGAUUUGGGUUCGGACACAGCCAAACCGUAUCAGCAUAGGAUUGGAAAGUCCAUCCACGUCCAUCAGUGAGAGACCAAUGCUGAGCAAAGGAAUACUGUGCAGCAUUAAGAAGAAACCAGUUGGAUCUUCAUGUUCUGAUAUAUUGAUAUAUACAACUAAGAUGCACUGAUAAAUGAGAACAGGCAACAGAAGGCGUGUACAGUGGCUGUCCGUGCUUGCACUGAAUGCAUUCCCCUACACAUACAUGGAUUGUCCCCUUGACAGUAAGAAAGAAACAGUGGCUGCUUCUGGGGAAGACACUGGGGGACUACUUACUGAAUGCUAUUUGGUACAGCUGGAAAGUUCUACAGUGUGCAUGCAAAAGAAAACUGUUCUCACGUUCGUGUCUAAAAAGCUCCCGGGUGAAUCCGGUGCGCAUCCAGGCUUGGUAACUACUAGGUGAGACGAUUCAUUGCCACCCUCCCUCGCCCUAGGAUCUUUCAACUCUAAAGCUCAGGUCCUGGGAUUAGUGAACAAACAUAUGUGUUAGUAGUGGGUAAACUGUAGGGGCCACCAGAAGUGAAGUGUCACCAAUCAGUGAUUCAGUCUGGAAAGGUAACAGUGAUGGGAAUAAGUGCUGUGGUCAUUGUGUACAUUUCAUUGUGUACAUUUCAUAAAUCCUAGCCCCUGGCCAGUGGAAACCAAGCCAGGGCUGUAUUUGACUCCUUGCAACCGUUGGCCGCCCCUGCUUUUUCAGGAGAAGGAAGGGGGUGUAUAAUGUGACACAUCAGCAAGUCAGAACAGAGAGUACCUGUGGAAUGGGUCCUGCCAGGCCUCUGUGCCCUUUUACACAUGAUGUCUUCAAGCUUCCGGUUAGUGACUGCUAACUCUCAACUCAGCCAGCAUUGAACCGGGCACCUUCAUGGGCACUGAUCCUCUGAAUCUCACACCACCAUAUCAUCCCCAUUGUACAGACAGGAAAACUGAGGCUCAGGGGUCACGUCACUCACUUUUUACCUAGAUCCUUCUGACUACAGAGCCCGCCUGCAUCCCACUAUAUGAAUGACCUGAGUGGGCUCUGCGGCAGUGGGGCCUGUUGCCCUGGGGUCCUGUGUUUCCAGCACUCUUUGCCAACUUCACCUGUCUCAGAGCCCUCAGGGAUCCAGCACCAUGGGGUUUACUUUCCCAGGUUCUCUCUGCCCCAAGUUCAGUCACUCCAGCCCAGUGUGGGGGCAGAGAUGUGGCAGAAUGAGGGCACCUUAUGGCCCCUUGAUUCGGAGGGACUCAGUGUGCGACCUUGGCAAGCACCUGAUCCUCCUUGGGCCUCGGUUUUUCCGCGAAUGCGACGGGAAUAAGAACAGUGUCUGCUGCAGGGGUCUCAUGGGGUAUCUAGUGGAAGGUGCACUGCAUUUGCUGGCACUGAGCUUGGUGCUGAGUAAAGGCUUCAUGGAUGUUUGCAGUAAUUCCUGAAAUUAAUGUUCAGGUUGUAAGUUUGCUGUAACACCAGUUAACCCUUCACUCUUUACCCCUAGCUGGUAGAAUAGUGCCUGGUACAUAGUAGGUGCUUAGUAAAUAUUUUUUGCUGAAUGAACAAAUGAACCAUUGACCUGCUGACUGGAGCUACUGCUGACAUACUGGGUGACUUUGGGCUGGUCCAGUCCUCUCACCGAGCUUCAGUUUCUGCAUCUCCCAGUGGGUGGGACCGUUUUGCCAGGCCUCAACCCACCUAGCCCAUUUCUCUUCUGCAGCAGCCUUCAGGGAUCCAUGAGCAGCUCACAGAAAGUUGCCCUUCUGUUUCCCUGAUUAUUAACCUGCAAAUUAGACAAAUCCAUUUUGGAGUGUUCAGCGUUGCCAUGGUAUCACAACGGCUUCCGCUCCCUCUCCCAGGCAGCAGAGAAGUCUCUUCCUCUUCCCUGCCCCCUACAUCCACCCCGCCCGGGAGGCAGCCCAUUGGCCUUAAAGGGCCAGUUCUGUAAGCUCCAGAGAAAGAUGCUUGCUGAAAUCACAGAAUGGAUGUUGCCUCCUGGCAAGGCGUUCAUUUGGUCACCCUUUGGGGAGGCAAAUUGUAGCUAGGAGCUGUGGAGUCAGGGUUCCCCAAGGAAGUGGAGGCUCUCCCCAAUUGCAAGUAGUGACUAGCCCUACAUUUGGAAGGCUGAACCUCAUGCUACCUGUCCCAUCCUCAUAACAAGAUGACCCCAGAAACAGGCCUGGUGGGAAAUGGAGUGAGCUCCAAAUGGGCCCAUUGACCAGAGGAACCUGGUUCAGCAAAAAGCCAGAGCAUCACAGACAUUAGGCCACUCCUGUGGGGCAUCACUUAACGUUGUUUAAAACUCCAGAUUUAAAUUAAGUCACGGUUGCCCUCAGAGGCCACUGCCGUGGGCCUUGGGGACAGAAGUUCUUAAAGGCACUGCCAUGGUAAGAGGGAAGGGCCAAAACUUUGUAUAAGUAACAAAGGUUCUGGCAAAGGUUAAUAAAUAAUCAUUGAAUGCCAGGUAUCGGCAUUACGGAAUUAAACCGUCUUAAUUGGCAUUGUCUCUGCUAGGAGAGACCCUGACAUAUGUAUGUUUUCAAAGUGUGGUGUCUGUUCAUCUUCUGUCUCUAAACAGACAAAAGCUCCCUGAGGGCAUGGUUGGCUUCUCUUAAUUCAGUGUCAUCUGCACUCUGCCACAGCACUAAGCACCUGGCUGCCCAGUCACUCUGGGUUCAUCGACUCUUAGAGAACGCCAUGGGAAGAGUAUAGGCUUACCAGUCCGACAGACUGGGUGGAAACUGCGGUAAAGAAAACUUAGGUUCUGUCUGUUAAUAGCUGUGCCUUAAGCAAGGUAUAAGUGAGGGUUCAAUGAGGGAAGAGGCCACUAGAAUGAGUGGAAUAAGGGACUUGUUAUUGGAAUUUGACCUUUCACAGUGUGGGAGAAGGAAGGUCUGGAUUACAGAGUGGAUGGUCCGAGGGGACAAGGGCCAGUCGAUCUGGAAGCCACGUGGGGAAGUUGAAGGAGGAGAAUCCAGGAAGCUUCUGCCACUGAGCAUCUGGGCUGGACACAGGGCAGAAGGAGGCAAAGGCCCAUGGAAACCCACUGGCGUCUCUGCAACCUGCUGCCACCACAUCCAAUGAGGCUGGCCUGAGAGUGAAGGCUGCUGCUCCCCCACCUCUGGAUUCUCAUGCCUCUUUUGGCCAGCUCAGACCCAGAGCUGUACUGGGGAAUGGGAUUCUGAACAACACAGCUCCAACCUGUCCACAUCAACACAGCACAGACCAACAUGGCCAAGUGUUAGGCCCUUCUGAGCCUCGGUUUCCUCGACCCAGCCGAUACCUUGCUAAUUUAUUUGAGUUCAUUGUAGAUUCUGGAUAAAUCCAGCAUCCCUUUAUGAUUAAAACUCUCACCAAAAUCUGUAUACAAGGGACAUACCUUAAUGUAAUAAAAACCAUCUAACCCAUAGCCAACAUAAUACUGAAUGGGGGAAAGCUGAAAGCAUUCCAUCUGAGAACUGGAACAAGACAAGGAUGUCCACUCUCACCACUUCUAUUCAACAUAGUAGUGGAAGUCCCAGCCAAAGCAAUCAGACAAGAGAAAGAAAUAAAGGGCAUCCAAACUGGUAAAGACAAAGUCAAACUGUCACUGUGUGCUGAUGAUAUGACUGUAUAGCUAGAAAACCCUCAAGACUCCUCCAGAAAGCUCCUAGAACUGAUAAAAUAAUUCAGCAAAGUUUUAGGACACAAAAUUAAAGUACACAAAUCAGUGGCUCUCCUGUGCACCAACAGUGGUUACUCUGAAAAUUAAAUCAAGAACACAACUCCUUUUACAAUAGCUGCAA
This 4180-nucleotide long non-coding RNA is filed under the name Homo sapiens (human). Its description in RNAcentral is "HSALNT0098030". The record is from RNAcentral. Lineage: Eukaryota; Metazoa; Chordata; Mammalia; Primates; Hominidae.